This 497-nucleotide ribosomal RNA is filed under the name uncultured bacterium. RNAcentral's name for it is "partial 16S ribosomal RNA". It matches the Rfam family "Bacterial small subunit ribosomal RNA", at positions 28 to 507 of the family's 1533-position model. The record is from RNAcentral.
GAUGAACGCUGGCGGCGUGCCUAAUACAUGCCAGUCGAGCGAACAGACGAGGAGCUUGCUCCUCUGACGUUAGCGGCGGACGGGUGAGUAACACGUGGAUAACCUACCUAUAAGACUGGGAUAACUUCGGGAAACCGGAGCUAAUACCGGAUAAUAUAUUGAACCGCAUGGUUCAAUAGUGAAAGACGGUUUUGCUGUCACUUAUAGAUGGAUCCGCGCCGCAUUAGCUAGUUGGUAAGGUAACGGCUUACCAAGGCAACGAUGCGUAGCCGACCUGAGAGGGUGAUCGGCCACACUGGAACUGAGACACGGUCCAGAGUCCUACGGGAGGCAGCAGUAGGGAAUCUUCCGCAAUGGGCGAAAGCCUGACGGAGCAACGCCGCGUGAGUGAUGAAGGUCUUCGGAUCGUAAAACUCUGUUAUUAGGGAAGAACAAAUGUGUAAGUAACUAUGCACGUCUUGACGGUACCUAAUCAGAAAGCCACGGCUAACUACGUG